GAUCGCAGUGACAUGGGUGGUUCGCUAUCAGUGAUGUYAUGAGAAGUGCAAUGAACYUUAUCAUUUAGAGGAAGGAGAAGUCAUAACAAGUUUUUUGUAGGUGAACCUGUGGAAGGAUCAUUGUCGAU
This 128-nucleotide ribosomal RNA is filed under the name Brachystegia bussei. Its description in RNAcentral is "partial 18S ribosomal RNA". It matches the Rfam family "Eukaryotic small subunit ribosomal RNA". The record is from RNAcentral. Lineage: Eukaryota; Viridiplantae; Streptophyta; Magnoliopsida; Fabales; Fabaceae.